CCUACGGGUGGCUGCAGUCGAGAAUCUUCGGCAAUGGACGCAAGUCUGACCGAGCGACGCCGCGUGCGGGAUGAAGGUCUUCGGAUUGUAAACCGCUGUCAGAGGGGAUGAAGUGCAUGGGAGUUCUCUCCUAUGUUUGACAGAGCCUCAGAGGAAGCACGGGCUAAGUUCGUGCCAGCAGCCGCGGUAAUACGAACUGUGCGAACGUUAUUCGGAAUCACUGGGCUUAAAGGGUGCGUAGGCGGUUUUCUAAGUCAGGUGUGAAAUCUCUCGGC
RNAcentral lists this ribosomal RNA (275 nucleotides) under uncultured bacterium. RNAcentral's name for it is "partial 16S ribosomal RNA". It matches the Rfam family "Bacterial small subunit ribosomal RNA", at positions 338 to 608 of the family's 1533-position model. The record is from RNAcentral.